RNAcentral lists this ribosomal RNA (864 nucleotides) under uncultured Bacillota bacterium. RNAcentral's name for it is "bacterial SSU rRNA". It matches the Rfam family "Bacterial small subunit ribosomal RNA", at positions 58 to 898 of the family's 1533-position model. The record is from RNAcentral. Lineage: Bacteria; Bacillati; Bacillota.
CAAGUCGAACGCGAAAGUUCCCUUCGGGGAGCGAGUAGAGUGGCGCACGGGUGAGUAACACGUAGGUAAUCUACCUUCGGAUUGGGAAUAACAACCGGAAACGGUUGCUAAUACCGAAUAAUGCAGCGGCACCUAAUGGUGACAGUUGUUAAAGCGGGGGAUCGCAAGACCUCGCGUCUGAAGAGGAGCCUGCGGCGGAUUAGCUAGUUGGUAAGGUAAUGGCUUACCAAGGCGAUGAUCCGUAGCCGGCCUGAGAGGGCGGUCGGCCACACUGACACUGACAUACGGGUCAGACUCCUACGGGAGGCAGCAGUCGGGAAUUUUGGGCAAUGGGCGAAAGCCUGACCCAGCAACGCCGCGUGAAGGAUGAAAUCCUUCGGGAUGUAAACUUCGCAAGAACGGGAAGAAUAAGUAAGAGCUAACAUCUCUUACGAUGACGGUACUGUUUGUAAGCUCCGGCUAACUCCGUGCCAGCAGCCGCGGUAAUACGGGGGGAGCAAGCGUUGUUCGGAUUUACUGGGCGUAAAGGGCGCGUAGGCGGCCACCGCAAGUCAGUUGUGAAAGCUCUGGGCUUAACCCAGAAAGGUCAACUGAUACUGCGGGGCUAGAGUGCAGAAGGGGCAACUGGAAUUCUCGGUGUAGCGGUGAAAUGCGUAGAUAUCGAGAGGAACACCUGCGGCGAAGGCGGGUUGCUGGGCUGACACUGACGCUGAAGUGCGAAAGCUAGGGGAGCGAACGGGAUUAGAUACCCCGGUAGUCCUAGCCUUAAACGAUGAAUGCUUGGUGUCUGGGGUUUUAUAGUCCCCGGGUGCCGUCGCUAACGCUUUAAGCAUUCCGCCUGGGGAGUACGGUCGCAAGACUGAA